CGCGUGAGUAACCUGCCCUGGAGUGGGGAAUAACAGCUGGAAACAGCUGCUAAUACCGCAUAAUGCAGUUGGGUCGCAUGGCUCUGACUGCCAAAGAUUUAUCGCUCUGGGAUGGACUCGCGUCUGAUUAGCUAGUUGGUGGGGUAACGGCCCACCAAGGCGACGAUCAGUAGCCGGACUGAGAGGUUGGCCGGCCACAUUGGGACUGAGACACGGCCCAGACUCCUACGGGAGGCAGCAG
Molecule: ribosomal RNA, 241 nt
Filed under: uncultured bacterium
Lineage: Bacteria
Description: partial 16S ribosomal RNA
Rfam family: Bacterial small subunit ribosomal RNA
Source: RNAcentral